RNAcentral lists this transfer RNA (73 nucleotides) under Cordylochernes scorpioides. Its description in RNAcentral is "tRNA-Thr". It matches the Rfam family "tRNA". Rfam says of the family: Transfer RNA (tRNA) molecules are approximately 80 nucleotides in length. The record is from RNAcentral. Lineage: Eukaryota; Metazoa; Arthropoda; Arachnida; Pseudoscorpiones; Chernetidae.
UCCAGGGUAGCCUAGUGGACAUGGCAUCUUCCCGGUAAGCGGAACAUUGUGGGUUCUAUUCCCAUCCCUGAAC